Molecule: ribosomal RNA, 397 nt
Filed under: uncultured bacterium
Lineage: Bacteria
Description: bacterial SSU rRNA
Rfam family: Bacterial small subunit ribosomal RNA
Source: RNAcentral
UAAGGAAUAUUGGUCAAUGGACGCAAGUCUGAACCAGCCAUGCCGCGUGAAGGAUGAAGGUCCUCUGGAUUGUAAACUUUUUUUAAGGUAGUUGACGGUACCCUAUGAAUAAGCACCGGCUAACUCCGUGCCAGCAGCCGCGGUAAUACGGAGGGUGCAAGCGUUAUCCGGAUUUACUGGGUUUAAAGGGUGCGUAGGCGGGCAUGUAAGUCAGUGGUGAAAUACCGGAGCUUAACUUCGGAACUGCCAUUGAUACUAUAUGUCUUUAAUAUUGUGGAGGUAAGCGGAAUAUGUCAUGUAGCGGUGAAAUGCAUAGAUAUUACAUAGAACACCGAUUGCGGAGGCAGCUUGCUACGCAAAUAUUGACGCUGAGGCACGAAAGCGUGGGGAUCAAACA